GAUUUUGUAAUUUAAAUAUAAAAUAUUGAUUUUGUAAAUCAAACAUUAGAUCGCCUACAAAAUCU
RNAcentral lists this transfer RNA (65 nucleotides) under Anurida maritima. RNAcentral's name for it is "tRNA-Thr". The record is from RNAcentral. Lineage: Eukaryota; Metazoa; Arthropoda; Collembola; Poduromorpha; Neanuridae.